CCAACCUGGGCAACAAGACCGAAACUCGUCAGAAAAAAAAAAAAAAAAGAAUUUGCCCUUUUGUUUUCUGUAAACACGGUUUAGAAGUUGUCAGCAUCCUUCGCCUGUCGGGCUGUGAACUGGAUGCCCCAGACGCCUGCCCAGCAGAGUGGCUGUAGAACUCGGCGGGGGACAGGUUAUUUUAAAACGUAAUUUUCUGGCAUCCUGUGUGGCCCCUGCCUGUUUCCGGCAUGCACUGAGGUGGUCCCGUGGAAUCCGCGCGGGAGUAAACCGUGGACACCAGCGCCUGCGUCCAGGGAAGCCUUAGCCGAGGCGCCUCGGUGUGAUCUGAAGGUGGGGUCCGGGGGCCUGGCCUCUCGGGGGGCUGCCGCGGUGGAGGAGCGCCUCAGAGUUCACGGCGUAGCCCCACUCGCCGGUACCCAGGUGGACGCUGAUCGGGGGAGAGAACUGAGCCCCGGGGUCUGACGCCGUCUGCUGAUCUGAAGCGUUGAACUCACGGACUUCUAAGUCUCUCAACACCGUGCGGGAGCGCCAGGCCCGGCGGGACCGCGUGGCCCCCCUCUCUCCCUCCCCUCCUUCUGGAGGGUCAUGGACGCAGAGCCGUGUCCUCCCAUUGCUGAAUGUGGGGGUGACUGUGGGGGCCGGAGAGUGGGGGCAGCUCAUUGCAGCUUGUGGCGUAGCCCCCCCGCCAUCUUGCAGCUCUGGAAAUGCGCCCCUGAGCCCCGGGGGCCGCCGGCUCCUCUCUCCUCCGCUCCCUGUCGGAAGAGAGAAGAAGACAAGAGCGGCCUCGGCUGGGCGAGGGUCCCCGGUACCCAGCCCUCAGAGCAGGAGGAACGCAGCUUCAACUCAGGCCAGCUCUGAAGAGGGCCUGGGAGGGCGAGUAGCCCCUGCUGUGGUUCGAGCGGCGUGGCUGCUGUGCCGGGCGUGGCCGGUGCUGACUUGCGACCUCCUGCUGACGUGGCCCCUGCUGUGGUUCGAGCGGCGUGGCUGCUGUGCCGGGCGUGGCCGGUGCUGACUUGCGACCAUCUCCAUGUGCUGGUUGCAGGCGAUGAGCAUUUCCAGGGCUGGGCCUCUUGUUAGCGUGGUCUCUAGGGUGUCCUGUCGAGUGUACCUCCCCGUGGGCUGGCGCAUCGUGCAGGAAAUGGGGACACGGCGGUCCUCACUGUGUGUCCACUGCCCCUUUGCGGUACGGGGUGCCGGGUGGGGAUCCCACCGCCUGCCCAGUUCUCCUCGUCAUGAAUGCGCCGUGGUUCAACAAACAGCGUCCGGCCGUGGCAAUUCUGCACAAAAAUGGGAUGGUGGUCGCAGAUUUCUGAAUUUAGAGAACCAUUAAAUAUGCAGGCAGCAGGCCAGCAGCACAGAGCAGCCGACACUCAGAGGGCCUUUGGGGAUGGGUUCUGGAACAUUCUAGAAAAACUGAACUAGUUUCCUUGGAUUUGUAGGACCAGUAACCUUGGCUUGGCUGUUAAAUUAAACAGAUGGCAGUUUCA
Homo sapiens (human) is the source of this 1490-nucleotide long non-coding RNA. RefSeq lists it as uncharacterized. The transcript is spliced from 2 exons. Lineage: Eukaryota; Metazoa; Chordata; Mammalia; Primates; Hominidae. The record is from RefSeq and is a predicted model, not a curated record.